UACGGAGGGUGCGAGCGUUAUUCGGAAUUAUUGGGCGUAAAGCGCGUGUAGGUGGUUGAGUAAGUCUGGUGUGAAAGCCCCGAUCUCAAAUCGGGAAGUGCAUUGGAUACUGCUCGACUGGAGUACAGGAGAGGAAGGUGGAAUUCCAGGUGUAGAGGUGAAAUUCGUAGAUAUCUGGAGGAACAACAGUGGCGAAGGCGACCUUCUGGACUGUUACUGACACUAAGACGCGAAAGCGUGGGGAGCAAACAGG
RNAcentral lists this ribosomal RNA (253 nucleotides) under uncultured bacterium. RNAcentral describes it as "partial 16S ribosomal RNA". It matches the Rfam family "Bacterial small subunit ribosomal RNA", at positions 524 to 776 of the family's 1533-position model. The record is from RNAcentral.